RNAcentral lists this ribosomal RNA (227 nucleotides) under Taenia polyacantha. RNAcentral's name for it is "partial 12S ribosomal RNA". The record is from RNAcentral. Lineage: Eukaryota; Metazoa; Platyhelminthes; Cestoda; Cyclophyllidea; Taeniidae.
UUCGUUAUGUUGGUGUAUGUCUGGUUUAAUAUUAUUGUUUAAUAAUUUAAUUUGUGUAUUGUUAAAUUAAGCCAAGUCUAUGUGCUGCUUAUUAAAGUAUUCAUGCGUUACAUUUAUAAGGUUACAUUUGUAAAAAUGUAAUAUUCAGGACUUAAAAGUAAUAUUAAAUUAAUUUGUUAGUGUGAAAAAAGUUUAGCUCAGGUACACACCGCCCGUCACCCUCGGUU